Molecule: ribosomal RNA, 512 nt
Filed under: Salmonella enterica subsp. enterica serovar Rubislaw
Lineage: Bacteria; Pseudomonadati; Pseudomonadota; Gammaproteobacteria; Enterobacterales; Enterobacteriaceae
Also listed under: 6 other names
Description: partial 23S ribosomal RNA
Rfam family: Bacterial large subunit ribosomal RNA
Source: RNAcentral
GACUCGUCACACUAUCAUUAACUGAAUCCAUAGGUUAAUGAGGCGAACCGGGGGAACUGAAACAUCUAAGUACCCCGAGGAAAAGAAAUCAACCGAGAUUCCCCCAGUAGCGGCGAGCGAACGGGGAGGAGCCCAGAGCCUGAAUCAGCAUGUGUGUUAGUGGAAGCGUCUGGAAAGGCGCGCGAUACAGGGUGACAGCCCCGUACACAAAAGCGCAUGUGCUGUGAGCUCGAUGAGUAGGGCGGGACACGUGGUAUCCUGUCUGAAUAUGGGGGGACCAUCCUCCAAGGCUAAAUACUCCUGACUGACCGAUAGUGAACCAGUACCGUGAGGGAAAGGCGAAAAGAACCCCGGCGAGGGGAGUGAAAAAGAACCUGAAACCGUGUACGUACAAGCAGUGGGAGCACAGGUUUACCUGUGUGACUGCGUACCUUUUGUAUAAUGGGUCAGCGACUUAUAUUCUGUAGCAAGGUUAACCGAAUAGGGGAGCCGGAGGGAAACCGAGUCUUAAU